RNAcentral lists this ribosomal RNA (317 nucleotides) under uncultured bacterium. RNAcentral's name for it is "bacterial SSU rRNA". It matches the Rfam family "Bacterial small subunit ribosomal RNA", at positions 28 to 336 of the family's 1533-position model. The record is from RNAcentral.
GACGAACGCUGGCGGCGCGCUUAACACAUGCAAGUCGAGCGAGAACCAGGCCUUCGGGCCUGGGGAAAGCGGCGAACGGGUGAGUAACACGUGGGUAACCCACCCUUGGUACCGGGAUAGCCCGGGGAAACCCGGAUUAAUACCGGAUGGCCCAGCAGCUCUUCGGGGCGGGUUGGAAAAGGUAGCUUCGGCCUCCGACCAAGGACGGGCCCGCGGCGGAUUAGCUUGUUGGCGGGGUAACGGCCCACCAAGGCGACGAUCCGUAGCUGGCUGAGAGGACGAUCAGCCACACUGGGACGUGAGACACGGCCCACGAC